ACUGUGAGAUUAAAAAAAAAAACAGCAGCUUGAUAACCCUGUUUAUCAUAUGACCAAGAGAAAAAGUUGCAAAGAAUUCUUAAAUUUUUUGUGAAGCAACACCAAAUUAACUUGAGACAAAAAGAACUAAGUCGCGAAUUGCGAAUCCUCAUUUAUUGGAAAAUAUUAAAUCCUUGAACCCCGGUGAUUGUGAGUGAUUCGUGAUAUUUGUCUUUUGAAUAACUGUCCGAUACAAAAAAAUCAAAUCAAAUCAUAAAAAAUGGCACUUAGCGACGCUGACGUACAAAAACA
Molecule: long non-coding RNA, 291 nt
Organism: Glossina fuscipes
Lineage: Eukaryota; Metazoa; Arthropoda; Insecta; Diptera; Glossinidae
Exons: 2
Source: RefSeq, a predicted model, not a curated record